UGAAACAUUGUGUUGAUUGGAUCUUAUAGGCUGAUUCUGAUGUUCUAACACCUUUUCUUUUUUUGAGACAUCUCCUUUUGGUAAUAGAACAAAUCAGGCUGAAGCUGUAAGAAGCGUCAUUUCAUAUGCGAUUUGAACGUGCAGAAGUGUUGCAUAUAUUUACGACAGCAAGUUUCCUUUCAGCAUUUCUCUGAAUUCUGAUGCUAGGUCUCAUCAUUUGACCAAGGAGGCAGUCCCCAGCAUACCCUGAUCCUCUGCUACCUGCUGGACCUGUUGCUUCAAAUCAAUCUCUCACAAUUCUCAGAUGCUGCUUCAUUUUGGGCCUCUGAGUAAUUUUCUUGCUCAUCUUCAAAUGUGGGGAGAAACUAAUGAAGUCAAAUCAAUUGAUUAAUGUUUUCUGAAGAAAUCCUCCUGCCUUCACCUCUGCCAACUGAGCCUCCAGCUCUUACCAGAGGAACAGUUACUUGCUGACACAUCCUGAGAAUAACUUCUAUUGGAUUUAUCACGUAGUUGUUGAUUAUGUAGUAAUGCUCAAAAAACUGGCAACCUCCUAAGCUUAUGAGACACAUAAUUAAACAUUACAAACAAGGUAUUUCUCCUCCCUCUUUACAUAUUAUACAUGGCAUAUCCACCUGAGACUGCAUCUCAAAAGACAGGCAGAGCAGAUGGGAGACACUUUACUUCUCAUCAGCUUCAAAGGGUGAGGAAAAAUAAAUAAAUAAAAAAGAAAACCGGGAAAGAAAAACUGCCCAUGUUACAUCAACAACAGGUAUGAACUUGAUUUCUGGAACAAGAGAAUCUUUCCGCUUGUUAAAGGUUGUGCAACUAGUUCUUUUGGAUGGGGUGUUCAUCACUUUCAGGGCGGCUUUACAGUCCACAGUCACGAAAGACUCCAACUCAGUUGCUCUAAGCCGUGCAAUCAGUCCUUCUAGAAAGUAAUAGUUCCCUUCUCCCGCUUUUUCUUUUAAAAGAAUGAAAGGAAAAAGAAGAAAAACCAAACCACCCAAAUCUGCAUUUUUUCCUCUGGCUGGCAGAUUUCCAAGAUAAAGAGGACUGCUCUCCGGCUGGAACAGCAGCCGGGGCCUGCUCUCCAAACUCACAAAAGAGAACACCACACACAGAGAAAAAGCGACGGGUCUGACCGGCCAGAAACGUCUUCUCACCCUCUGAGACAGCUUCUCCAAUAGAGAAAGAAACCCCAUUCACCCGCGGCAGCCCCACGCCCCGGCCCCACAGCCAGCCCCGCCGCGCUGUUCCCACGCACCGCCGGGACGGGCGGGCAGCGCCGGCAGGCUCGGGACGGGACGGCGGCUCCUUCGCGCCGGGUCGGACAGGGAUAAAUCGCUCCUCAUUCUGGUCACUGGGGAACCAGAACCCACACGAAGUUUCCCUUCCUUUCAGUCACCCCUUCCCAGGUGUAUACUUCUCUCCAUUAUUACUAUGACUGUUUUUGAAUAGGACAAGCAGAGGUGCCCGUGUCAGAGCGCCAGCGGGUUACGGGAGCGGUGCUUCCUCGGGAGCCCCGCGGCUUUUCCCGGCGGUGCAGGGGAGAAGGGAGCGGCUGUGCCGGGCUGAGCCGGGGAGCGCUCUCCGGGGAGCGACGGGGCAACGUGGGAAGGGGGGAAGAAUGAAAAAGAAACGCUAAAGGAGAGAAGCACGACCGAUGACAUGUGCCAAGGCUUAUUCCCUUUUAUUUCCUCCACCCCCACAAAAGAAAAUAAGCCAAGAAUCAGGAAGUCAGGGCUGCGUGAUCGCUGCUAUAGGCAACUUUCUCUGGAGAGUGGGAGGAAGCACUGUCUUGUCACCCGGCAUAAACAUGAUGACCUAUAAAGUGAAGAUCAUGUAAUCUGGUAGUUCUUCCACAUGAAGAUACUUCUGGAUUGCAAAAUUUGACUGCAGUUGCUCACCACCACUUGCCUGCACCACUGAGCUGGUUACUUUGUCACACACACAUGGGGAGAGUGUUUACAGAAUCACAGAAUAUGCUGAGUUGGAAGGAACUAAUCAAGAUCAUCGAGUCCAAGUCCUGCCUUUCACAGGACCCCCCAAGAGUCACACCAUGUGCCUGAGAAGUGUCAAACACUUUUUGAACUCUGUUAGGCUUGAUGCCAUGACCAUUUCCCUGGGGAGUCUGUUCCAAUGCCCAACCACCCUCUGGGGGAAGAACUUUUUCCCGAUAUCCAUCCCAAACCUCCCCUGACACAGCUCUAAGCCAGUCCUUCAAGUCCUGUCACUGGUCAUCACAGAGAAGAGAUCAGUGUCUGCCCUUCUUCUUCUGUUCAUGAGGAAGUUUUAUCCCCUCAGGCUGAACAGACCAAAUGACCUCAGCCACUCCUCAUACAGCUUCCCCUCAAGGUCUUUUACCAUCUUUGUUGUCCCCUUUGGAUUCUCUCUAGUAUCUUUGUAUCUUUCUUAAAUUGUGGCACCCAAAAGUGCCUCGUGCACUAGAGGUGAGGUGGUCCCAGUGCAGAAUGGACAAUCCCCUCCCUUGCCCAGCUGUGGUGCUGUACCCGGUGCCCCCCAGGACACACUUGGCUCUCCUGGCUGCCAGGGCACUGCUGAUCCACAUUCAGUUUGCCAUCAGCCAGGACCCCCAGAUGCCUUUCCAAUGGCACUGCCUUUCAGCAUCUCAUUCACCAACCUGUCCAUACAUUCCAGGGUGCCUAAUCCCAGGGGCAGAAUUCAGCUGUUUGUUUGUUUGUAUAACACCACUUAAAAGGGACAACACCAACAAACACAUGACUGUUGAAAUUAAACCUUAAUUAUAAUAAAUUCCACCGUCAGUAUUUCAACACAUGGCCAAGGUGUUAUCUCAGGAGGGUUCCUACAUGGCCUUUUUUCUUUUUUUUAUAUCCGUGUAAGAUUUAUCUAUCAUCUCAGUUGCCAAGUUCACUGUGGCAUUUUUCAGUGAAAUUCUCUUAAAUCAGGAACAAACUUUUAAAAUUAUUUAAACUCUGUUAGGGAUUCACAGCGCUAGCUUAUACAUUAAUGAAUGUAGGAAACAAAAAAAAAAUCAGUUUAAAAAUAAAAGCUGUGUGGCUGUAGUGCUUUUUAGCACACAAAGAUUUACUGCAUCCAUUGCAUGGGAGAAAGUGUGAGCCAUCUAUUUUCUGAAUUAUGGCUUCUCUUUGAAAAGACACCCAAUUUUUGUCCAGUAUAAAGCAGGGGAAAGAAAUUUGCUUUUGUGCAUUUUGAUUAAAAUCUAAAGUAAUUACAAGAGGAAAAAAAGGUAUGGCAAAUUCUUUCAGUAUUGGAGAUAAAUACAGCAAUUGAUAAGAUAAACUGAACAGGGUUAUCAGGGUCUCAUAGGAAUAGCUACACUGUAUUGACAAAAGUGUUCAGAUUUACACACUGUAUAGUUGUUCUCUCGCAAAAUCUCUGCUGAACUCCUGGGGAAUGUGGCACCUCCAUUGCCAUCUAGAAGAUAGUUUCAAGGGGUAGAAUGCACUUCCUGCUUGAAAGUAAUUUUGUUGUUUGUAACUUCACAUAGAGACUAUUGUGGUUUUUCACAAACUUUAACAAGUACCAAUACCAGGCAUUUCUUUCCUGAGUAAGUUUUACAGUCCGUGAGGGUGAGGAUAUAAGGACUGACACUAUGAUGGAAUGAGGUAUAUUAUAUACAAAAUCUUUGUUACUAAACAGUACAAGUUUCCUACAUAAGAACAAGCUCCUGCCUUAUUUCUGUACUUUGUUGAGGUGACUUACACCCUGACAGUUGUAUGGUACACAUAUUCCUUCAUUCAACCAGAAAUCAUAUAACUCUGUAUGACUGCAGCAAGUACAGUCUGAGCAUGCUGCCAAUUAAUGACAUGUCAGUGGAGGCAGAGUGAACACAGAAUCACAGAAUGGGGCAGAUUGGAAGGGACCACAGUAGGUCACUUUGUCCAGCCACUCUGCUCAAGCAGGGUCAUCUAGAGCAAAUGACACAGUAUCGCAUCUACAUUGUUCUUGAAUAUUUCCUGUGAGAGAGACUCCACAGCCUCUCUGGGCAGUGUAUUGUGGCCAAUCUGGUCAUCUGCACAGUAAAGAAGUUCUUCCUCAUAUGUAUAUGGAGUUUCCUGUGCAUCAGUUUCUGCCUGUUGCUUCUUGUCCUAUUGCUCAGCACCACUGAGAAAAGCCUGGAUUCAUCCAUUUGACAUCCCCCCUUCAGACACAUACAUGCAUUCAUAUGGUCCCCUCUCAUGGACAUGGCUCAUGGACAGCUUGUUGUCCAUUGGGAU
Prinia subflava (tawny-flanked prinia) is the source of this 4220-nucleotide long non-coding RNA. RefSeq lists it as uncharacterized. The transcript is spliced from 4 exons. The record is from RefSeq and is a predicted model, not a curated record. Lineage: Eukaryota; Metazoa; Chordata; Aves; Passeriformes; Cisticolidae.